AUGUUCCGGCUGCUUCAGGAUGCCGCCGCUGUAGCGGUUCCGCAGCUCUGCGUAGGAGCCGGUGGUUCCCGAAAGAAAGAGCGUCUGUCUUGGCCAGCGUGGAAGACAGAAUAAACACAUUGGACAAUUGCUCUUUCCAUGGGAAAGAACCUAAGCUCCUCUUCUGUGCCUGAAAAACUACCAUUUCACUCCACGUCCAAUGACGUCAACUCCAAAGCCAGCUAAAAUCCUCAGUUCAACCAGGCAAGUGACAUCACUGAAGGCUGGAGGAAAAGGAAAGAGAAAUAUAGCACAGAGAAUAACUAGUCACCCAGCCUGCCUCUGCAGGGCAUACGCAGGCUCCCGACCACCUGGGAGUUCCAGACAUUCCGUGGAUUGAUGGAGAUGAAAAGUUGGUUUUCACUUCCCUUUUUCAGCUGUGCCUAAGCCUCCUCUCCCGAGUCGUCAUUUCCUGGACCAACCUCUUCUUAAAAUGACUGACAGUGGGGGCCUCAAGCUCUGCGGGGUGCGGACGAAUCCUCCAGCCUGCACAAGAGACCCGUGAAAUAGUCCUAUACCAGGCACACUCUGUUUCUAAGUUGUGCAGCCUCACAUGAUCCCACAGGUGGGACACCUCUUAACCCAGGUGAGGCAAGACUGAGCUAAAUUCAGUCCAAUUUCUUUUCAGGCUCUUCCAUUAAGGUUGAAAAGAUCUUGGGGUCCAUUCUCUCCUAAAGUCUCCCAGUUUCAGUAGGUACCGUCAUGCCCAUUUUACAGAUAAGAAAACAGAGGCUCUGAGAAGUUAAGGACUUGGUCAAGGCCAUACCUCAAUAAGUGCCAGAAAUUUCCACCAUUCCUACAAAUUCAGAAUUCCUAACAUAAAAAUCAUCCUGACCUACCCCUCCAACCAGACAGGAACAGCUGGACUCGACCCUCACCUUGUCUCAGCACACGACUCACCCUUCAGUCUCAUCAAAAUGAACGUUGACUCUUCUCUCCAAAUUGCGGAGGGAGGCCUCCAAUAAAUUUCCAAUCAUCCUCUCAGCACACAGAAACUACAUAAAUUAUAUUUAAUAGCAUUAACCUACUUUAUAAUGACUCUCCA
Physeter macrocephalus (sperm whale) is the source of this 1084-nucleotide long non-coding RNA. RefSeq lists it as uncharacterized. The transcript is spliced from 3 exons. The record is from RefSeq and is a predicted model, not a curated record. NCBI's taxonomy places the organism in Eukaryota, Metazoa, Chordata, Mammalia, Artiodactyla, Physeteridae.